GACGAACGCUGGCGGCGGGCUUAACACAUGCAAGUCGAACGGAAAGGCCCUGCUUUUGUGGGGUGCUCGAGUGGCGAACGGGUGAGUAACACGUGAGUAACCUGCCCUUGACUUUGGGAUAACUUCAGGAAACUGGGGCUAAUACCGGAUAGGAGCUCCUGCUGCAGGGUGGGGGUUGGAAAGUUUCGGCGGUGGGGGAUGGACUCGCGGCUUAUCAGCUUGUGGGUGGGGUAGUGGCUUACCAAGGCUUUGAAGGGUAGCCGGCCUGAGAGGGUGACCGGCCACAUUGGGACUGAGAUACGGCGCAGACUCCAACGGGGGGCAGCAGUGGGGAAUAUUGCACAAUGGGGGGAAGCCUGAUGAAGAAGCGCCGCGUGCGGGAUGACGGCCUUCGGGUUGUAAACCGCUUUCGCCUGUGACGAAGCGUGAGUGACGGUAAUGGGUAAAGAAGCACCGGCUAACUACGUG
RNAcentral lists this ribosomal RNA (468 nucleotides) under uncultured bacterium. Its description in RNAcentral is "partial 16S ribosomal RNA". It matches the Rfam family "Bacterial small subunit ribosomal RNA", at positions 28 to 507 of the family's 1533-position model. The record is from RNAcentral.